GGCUGGGAUAGCUCAGUCAGCUGAGCAUGGGUCUCUUAAUCUCAGGCUCCUGGGUUCGAGCCCCACGUUGGGCCA
Non-coding RNA from Podarcis lilfordi (Lilford's wall lizard), 75 nucleotides. The record is from the annotation of a GenBank genome assembly. Lineage: Eukaryota; Metazoa; Chordata; Lepidosauria; Squamata; Lacertidae.